GGAAUCUGAAACCAAGAACAAAUUUGUUGUGAAAUACUAGAGACCUGCCUAUUAAGAAUAAGAUUAGGGAGUCCGCUAACCAUUCUUAUAUAAUACACUAGAGUAUUUAAGGAAACAUAACUUUGGGAAAGGAGAAAAAAAUCAUUUGCAGAUGAUGUAAUUACCUGGAUAACUGUAGGAUUCUUAGAAAACUUCAGCAAGAUGCCCAAUUAUAAAAUAAACAUAUAAAAAGCAAAGCUUUGAAAUACUCCAGGAAUAACUAAUUAGAACAUUAAUAUUUCACUUACAAUAUUAAUAGUAAACAAUAGUAGUUUAUAUAAUAAACUUUUAUGAAAUAGGAAUCAAACAAAACAAAUAUUCAAAACCUAAAUGAGGGGCUGUCAAAACUUUGGUGAGGGUGGAACUUAGGUCAAGAUGGCAGAGUAAGAAGAUCCUUAGCUCACCUUCCAUGGACACACCAAAACUACACCUACAUAGAGAACAACUGUUUCUGAGAACAACCUGAAGACCAGCGGAACAGAUUUUCCACAACUAAGAGCAUAAAACACCAGAUCAGAAAGGAUAUCACAACCAUGGAGGUUCUCCUGGAUGAGUGAGGGGCCCGAGCCCCACAUUGGACUCCCCAGCCUGGGAGACCUGCACUGGAAAGAUGAGCCCCCAUAAUGUCUGACCUUGAAAACCAGUGAGGCUUACGUCCAGGAGAGCCAGGGGGCUACAGGAAACCAAGACUAUGCUCAUAAAGGAUGGUGUUCCAUUUCCCAUUCUGGUUUUUCUGGAUAUUCAUCCUGAGAAGCAGAUGCUUUCUCUGGACUCUGUAUAUACCCCCAAACAUGUUAGAUCCCUGCCCUGAGGCGUACGUGGAGCCCAUGAAGGUGCUGAUCUAAGUCAGUGGCCUCAAAAUGUGGGGUACGCUCAUCCCAAGAGUUACAAAAGCAGACCUUCUAGGAUGCAGAAAGAGAAAGGUAUGCCCUUAAUUUGCUUUAUGUUUUAUUGUGUUAACAAGAUCUUCCAGAACAAUAUUAAGCAAUAGUGAUAGAGGGCAUCUUCAAUUUGUUCCUGAAUUUAAAAGAAAUGCUUCUAUUUUACAAGGAGGAAACGAAAUGUUCUGUUUUUCAGAAGUUGAUGUCCCCGUUUUUGCAGAUGUUGCCAUCUUACAGUGAAACUGACACAAUUGCAGAAAGACCCCUGCAAAUUGCUCCCUGAGUGUCCAAAAGUUACCGUGGACCUGCUAUGUAGUGACGUGUUCCUUGAACUCGUUAUGUAAUGGCAUGUUGCCUUGACCUUGUGAUGUAAUAGCCUGCACAUACCCCUGAUUGAGCAGUUG
Molecule: long non-coding RNA, 1324 nt
Filed under: Equus asinus (donkey)
Lineage: Eukaryota; Metazoa; Chordata; Mammalia; Perissodactyla; Equidae
Description: lncRNA (ENSEASG00005027159.1)
Source: RNAcentral